GCACUUGUAGCUCAACUGGCAGAGCCACCGCUUUUUAAGCGGAGGGUUGCAGGUUCGACUCCUGCCGGGUGCA
Molecule: transfer RNA, 73 nt
Filed under: Humisphaera borealis
Lineage: Bacteria; Pseudomonadati; Planctomycetota; Phycisphaerae; Tepidisphaerales; Tepidisphaeraceae
Description: tRNA-Lys
Rfam family: tRNA
About the family: Transfer RNA (tRNA) molecules are approximately 80 nucleotides in length. Their secondary structure includes four short double-helical elements and three loops (D, anti-codon, and T loops). Further hydrogen bonds mediate the characteristic L-shaped molecular structure. tRNAs have two regions of fundamental functional importance: the anti-codon, which is responsible for specific mRNA codon recognition, and the 3' end, to which the tRNAs corresponding amino acid is attached (by aminoacyl-tRNA synthetases). tRNAs cope with the degeneracy of the genetic code in two manners: having more than one tRNA (with a specific anti-codon) for a particular amino acid; and 'wobble' base-pairing, i.e. permitting non-standard base-pairing at the 3rd anti-codon position.
Source: RNAcentral